UGUGCCAGCAGCGCGGUAAUACGUAUGUUCCAAGCGUUAUCCGGAUUUAUUGGGCGUAAAGCGAGCGCAGACGGUUAUUUAAGUCUGAAGUGAAAGCCCUCAGCUCAACUGAGGAAUUGCUUUGGAAACUGGAUGACUUGAGUGCAGUAGAGGAAAGUGGAACUCCAUGUGUAGCGGUGAAAUGCGUAGAUAUAUGGAAGAACACCAGUGGCGAAGGCGGCUUUCUGGACUGUAACUGACGUUGAGGCUCGAAAGUGUGGGUAGCAAACAGGAUUAGAUACCCUGGUAGUCCU
This 293-nucleotide ribosomal RNA is filed under the name Weissella cibaria. RNAcentral's name for it is "partial 16S ribosomal RNA". It matches the Rfam family "Bacterial small subunit ribosomal RNA", at positions 504 to 797 of the family's 1533-position model. Lineage: Bacteria; Bacillati; Bacillota; Bacilli; Lactobacillales; Lactobacillaceae. The record is from RNAcentral.